This 261-nucleotide ribosomal RNA is filed under the name uncultured prokaryote. RNAcentral describes it as "partial 16S ribosomal RNA". It matches the Rfam family "Bacterial small subunit ribosomal RNA", at positions 524 to 784 of the family's 1533-position model. The record is from RNAcentral.
UACGUAGGUGGCAAGCGUUAUCCGGAAUUAUUGGGCGUAAAGAGCGCGCAGGUGGUUGAUUAAGUCUGAUGUGAAAGCCCACGGCUUAACCGUGGAGGGUCAUUGGAAACUGGUCGACUUGAGUGCAGAAGAGGGAAGUGGAAUUCCAUGUGUAGCGGUGAAAUGCGUAGAGAUAUGGAGGAACACCAGUGGCGAAGGCGGCUUUCUGGCCAGUUACUGACGCUCAUGCGCGAAAGCUGGGGUAGCGAACCGGAUUAGAUA